Picea glauca (white spruce) is the source of this 123-nucleotide non-coding RNA. The record is from Rfam. Lineage: Eukaryota; Viridiplantae; Streptophyta; Pinopsida; Pinales; Pinaceae.
AUGUACAUUCCUACAAUACAAUGUUUAUGCACCAGAUCCCAUUAUAACUCUGCAUUUAAGCAUGCUUGGGCUAGAAUAGUACUGGGAUGGGUGAUCGCCUGGGAAGUCCUAGUGUUUUACAUG